UGUAAUUUUGAAAGACCGUCCUUCUUCGCCAACCAUUUUGUACAUGCAAUAGAUAUAAAUUCAUGCGCAGUCAAAAAAUCUGUUCCAUCUUUUCCACCCACAAAAAAUAUCUAGCGAAGUAUAUUCUCUAACAUUUGACGUACUUUCCCCCUUAGUUGAUGCAGACACACCCCCUGACGGCUUUGAAAUCCCGCCUUUUUCGGUCACAGUUCACUUCAAAAAAAAGAUAUUACACGUGUCGGUCGUCCUUCAUAAAAUUCCGGAUAAAUGCAUCUGUUUAGAACCUGGUGAAACGCAUUUUCAUCUAAACACAGGUAAAUUUUCAAAGAAAUACCAUCUGAAUUUCACAUACCCCCAGCGCAUCAAGGUAAAAACGCGUAAUAUCAAGGCUGAGUUGAACCAUGGAGUACUCGACGUAUUCUUUCAAAUAGACCAAAUAGAAGACAAGAAUUCUGGGAAGCUUCUCGCAAGAAAAUCCAGCCUGCAUAAAAAUUCAAAAGUACUUCAAAAAGCAUCGCGCGCAAGACCAGACGAAAACAAGGACAAUCAAGCCACUUGUCGCCAAGAGAAAAAUGCUGUCAAAUGUUCGAGAGGAAAAGUAUUAUCCACUAAAGAAAAAGACAUUCGUAUGUCAAAGAGCAUUGAAAAGAAGCUAAGAUGCCAGGUUCUUCAAGGUCUGCAAAAGGAACAAAAAAAAAUAGAAUAUCUCAGAAAGAAACAAAUUCAAAAGGAACAACAAAAACAAAAACUCCAAAAACAAAAAGAAAAGAUAUUGAAGCCGUUAAUACAAAGCUACAUAAAAAAACCCACCAAAAGAAUAGUUCGAUUUAAAGAUGAUGAGCACACGGUGCCUUUAAAAAAAACCGCAACAUCGAAAUCAAAAAGCUGAUAUGCUUGUUGGCACGGACAAUAUGGAAGCAAGAUGCUUCCCAUAACAACGAAAGUUUUGUACCUUCGGUUAUAAAAAAUACAUUUCUUUGACAACAACGAAUUCGAUAAAAACUGUUAUUAUUCGAUCAAUGUUGGUCCGCUGUACGCGCAUGCGGUCAACUGCGGUUGAUGUACUCGAUAUAGUAGGAUAAAGCUGUAAACAUGACCGAGUCGAGGUGUUUACCAUGUGCUCGAAAUCCGGUCUAUGCAGCAAAUAGUCCCAAUUUAUUAGGCAAUAUCGUAUAAGAGCCUCUUGCGAAUUUUAACGGACAAAAAUGGUGGCGCACGAACCGUGUUUUGUUGCGCAAAAAAAAGCCUAUGCACAAGUCAACAAGACGUGUUCGAGAACUGACAAAAU
Molecule: long non-coding RNA, 1288 nt
Organism: Schistocerca gregaria
Lineage: Eukaryota; Metazoa; Arthropoda; Insecta; Orthoptera; Acrididae
Exons: 3
Source: RefSeq, a predicted model, not a curated record